UCGCACCUACCGAUUGAAUGAUUCGGUGAAAAUUUCGGACUAUGGCUGGGACGCCUUCGGGCGACUUAGUUGCAGGAAGUUGUUUAAACCUCAUCAUUUAGAGGAAGGUGAAGUCGUAACAAGGUUUCCGUAGGUGAACCUGCGGAAGGAUCAUUAUCACACCUUCUAAAAUA
Molecule: ribosomal RNA, 173 nt
Filed under: Neotessella volvocina
Lineage: Eukaryota; Synurophyceae; Synurales; Neotessellaceae
Also listed under: 1 other name
Description: Tessellaria volvocina partial 18S ribosomal RNA
Rfam family: Eukaryotic small subunit ribosomal RNA
Source: RNAcentral